Molecule: long non-coding RNA, 700 nt
Organism: Haliotis rubra (blacklip abalone)
Lineage: Eukaryota; Metazoa; Mollusca; Gastropoda; Lepetellida; Haliotidae
Exons: 3
Source: RefSeq, a predicted model, not a curated record
AAUGGUUAAUUCUGAUGUGUAGUUUGAGUAUAAUAAUGUACAAUUGGGAUUGAGAGUUCAGGCAAAUCGGUGCAGGGUUGAAGGAUAUCUGUCCCUGUUUGAAACAAAUGCAGCUGUGCAAUGUUACCCCAUGUAGGACAAGAUAAUAUUUGCUUUACACUUGUUUCAGGUCCUGCCUGAUAAACAGUUGGACACAAAGCUUAAGAGAUGCACAAAUGCAGUCCCAGGCAGUCAGCCACCCAGUGCCAUCCAACCUUGACUUUGAACCAGUGAGAACUCUUCAGCACGAACCUGGGAUACCCAGGCCUGUGUCAAAGUGGAAUCACAUGUUAUAUGGAAUGGAGGGACUGGUUGGGCAGCCGAGAUAAGCAGGGCUAUAGGCGGUGCUUCUUUUCGUGGCCGUCCAAGGCAGGGACCGAACAAAAAGCCCACAGAAUAGCCCAAUUCAUAGCAAAUAAAUGUUUACCAGAUGAUUUGGUUAAAACUGACAGCUCUGGCAAAAUAAUUGAAGUGAGCCAUCUCUGUCACUACACUUCUUGUGUAAACACUGACCAUUUGACUGUCGAGACCCACGAACACAAUAUGGAAAGAAUUCACUGUCGACAACAGGGCUUGUGCACCAAGAGUCAUAAACCUUACUGUUUUAUGUAAGCAUAUACAUUAUGUUGUUAGGUCUUUCUGUGUGUGGCCAGUUUUGGGU